UACUUGGUGCCUCAUCCUGCUGUAGCAUUGCUAUGCUUACUAUGGCUUAUGUAACAAGACUUCGAAUGGCGAAGCCACUUCAGCGGUGCUGAACCUGUGUGUCGUGUUUGUGUUUUCCUUCUGACCAACUGAGCAGUUUCUACCAUGUUGGCCGUACUGAGACCUACUUGGAGGCCAUUGGCACGAGCAUUUUCACGUACUCCUGCCGCUGCCAAGGCCCUUAUAGUUAAAAAUCAGGAAGAAUUCCUAAACAAAGUGAUGCACAGUGACCUGCCAGUCAUUGUAAACUUUCACGCAGAAUGGUGUGAGCCGUGCAAGAUACUCUCACCACGCCUCAAGGAACUGGUUGAACCCCUCGAGGAUAUAGUGCUUGCAGUUGUUGAUGUCGAAAACAAUGUAGAUCUUGUGCACACUUUUGAGGUGAAGGCUGUACCAGCAGUAAUUGCCAUCAGAAAUGGAAUAGUGGUGGACAAAUUUAUCGGACUAGUAGACGGUGAGAUGAUAGACAAGCUGAUUGCUGAAUUAUCCCGAGGAGCCAAGCCUGAAUCUGACGGUAGUGACAGCAAGCAGUGAUCAGCUGUGAUAUGCAGUGCCGAGGGUACUUUCAAGUUUGGACGCCAUGCUUCUCGGAAUCAUAUAACAUGGCUUCUUGAUCUAGACGUGUGUAACUGAUAAUGAAGUAGCAACAAUAAUCACUCGUAAUAUUACAGAUCUGGUAUAAUAAAGCUGUG
Molecule: unclassified non-coding RNA, 731 nt
Filed under: Schistocerca americana (American grasshopper)
Lineage: Eukaryota; Metazoa; Arthropoda; Insecta; Orthoptera; Acrididae
Description: thioredoxin, mitochondrial, transcript variant X3
Source: RNAcentral